This 253-nucleotide ribosomal RNA is filed under the name uncultured bacterium. RNAcentral describes it as "partial 16S ribosomal RNA". It matches the Rfam family "Bacterial small subunit ribosomal RNA", at positions 524 to 776 of the family's 1533-position model. The record is from RNAcentral.
UACGUAGGGGGCAAGCGUUGUCCGGAUUUAUUGGGCGUAAAGAGCGUGUAGGCGGCCAUACAGGUCAGCUGUGAAAACUCGAGGCUCAACCUCGAGACGUCGGUUGAAACCGUAUGGCUUGAGUUCGGGAGAGGGAUGCGGAAUUCCAGGUGUAGCGGUGAAAUGCGUAGAUAUCUGGAGGAACACCGGUGGCGAAGGCGGCAUCCUGGACCGAUACUGACGCUGAGGAGCGAAAGCCAGGGGAGCAAACGGG